UUUUUUUGCUCGAGAAAAGGCAUGCUGCAGAUAAGAAAACCUUGAAACCGACAAACUUGCCUUGGGUUGUUGGCCAUAUCCACGCAAGAUUGAAGUGGUUGUUGAGACGCAAUUGAUUUUCUCCACCAGUUAAAAGCACAGUGAUUUUCAAAUGAGGACCAGUAAGAAAAUCAAUAUGACCAGAAUCACGAGGUGUACUCAAAAGGCUGAGGUGGCUGAGGUUCCUCAUCAACAGCCAUGGCUGAUGCAGA
RNAcentral lists this unclassified non-coding RNA (251 nucleotides) under Hevea brasiliensis (rubber tree). The record is from RNAcentral. Lineage: Eukaryota; Viridiplantae; Streptophyta; Magnoliopsida; Malpighiales; Euphorbiaceae.